Long non-coding RNA from Propithecus coquereli (Coquerel's sifaka), 256 nucleotides. RefSeq lists it as uncharacterized. NCBI's taxonomy places the organism in Eukaryota, Metazoa, Chordata, Mammalia, Primates, Indriidae. The record is from RefSeq and is a predicted model, not a curated record. The transcript is spliced from 3 exons.
UGAAAGAAGAAAAAGAAUGACAACUGUUAACCCGAGGUAUGUGCUGAAGAACUGGAUGGCAGAAUCCGCAGUGCAGAAGGCAGAACAGAAUGAUUUCUCAGAGGUCCAUCUUCUACAGCAAGUUCUUCGGCAUCCUUUCCAGAAGCAUUCUGCAGCCGAGAAAGCAGGUUACGCUUCACCUACUCCUUCUUGGGCUAAAGAUCUCAGAGUUAGUUGCUCAUCUUAAUUUGGGAAAAAUAAUUUAAGGAAUACUUCU